Molecule: ribosomal RNA, 496 nt
Filed under: uncultured bacterium
Lineage: Bacteria
Description: partial 16S ribosomal RNA
Rfam family: Bacterial small subunit ribosomal RNA
Source: RNAcentral
GAUGAACGCUGGCGGCGUGCCUAAUACAUGCAAGUCGAGCGAACAGACGAGGAGCUUGCUCCUCUGACGUUAGCGGCGGACGGGUGAGUAACACGUGGAUAACCUACCUAUAAGACUGGGAUAACUUCGGGAAACCGGAGCUAAUACCGGAUAAUAUAUUGAACCGCAUGGUUCAAUAGUGAAAGACGGUUUUGCUGUCACUUAUAGAUGGAUCCGCGCCGCAUUAGCUAGUUGGUAAGGUAACGGCUUACCAAGGCGACGAUGCGUAGCCGACCUGAGAGGGUGAUCGGCCACACUGGAACUGAGACACGGGCCAGACGCCUACGGGAGGCAGCAGUAGGGAAUCUUCCGCAAUGGGCGAAAGCCUGACGGAGCAACGCCGCGUGAGUGAUGAAGGUCUUCGGAUCGUAAAACUCUGUUAUUAGGGAAGAACAAAUGUGUAAGUAACUAUGCACGUCUUGACGGUACCUAAUCAGAAAGCCACGGCGAACUACGG